Long non-coding RNA from Triticum dicoccoides, 6921 nucleotides. RefSeq lists it as uncharacterized. Lineage: Eukaryota; Viridiplantae; Streptophyta; Magnoliopsida; Poales; Poaceae. The record is from RefSeq and is a predicted model, not a curated record. The transcript is spliced from 8 exons.
UUGACCACGCUAUUGUGAUAAUCUUGGCCAGGAUCACUUUAUAUCAUGUUGAACCACCUUGGAAUUCGUAGAGACUUUUAUCAUCGAAGGAUGUACUCACAGAACACAAUGAGUGGGUUAUGCCUUUCUACACUUCUGUCCAUAGCAGUGGGAUAUGUUUUCUGCACUGCGCGGCUACCCUCUAAUGUCGCGAUGGCUGACGAAGAGAUCUCGGUUUAUGGCUCGCUAGGUUCAGCUAGUUCCACUAACAGCUGUCUCCGAGCACUUGCAUAGGUCAGCUGAUAUACGUCACGUCCCCUCUUUGGUUUUACUAGACUGCUGCAAAAAUAUGAUCAGUGUGACUCCGCAAUUUUUAUAAUCAAAGGAAGUACUCACAUAUGUAAACACUGAUAUAGGGUUUGUAGAUGCUUAGAGAUAGCAGUAAAUGAGUAGUAAUAUUUUGAUCCAGACAGUGUGAUGAUUUAAACUCUGUUUUCUAUAUGACCUUCAUGUAGUUGAUUGCUUUGUUUUCACUAUUGCUACUGCAUGAUUUGUUCAGAGAGAGUUGCCAACUGAGCUUAUAUUUUUGUUAACUUACUGAAUGAUAACCAGACUAACCUUGCCAUCUGUUUUUUGUCGAAAGAACUUGAAUUGUUUUCUGAACUUGCACUAAAUAUGUUCAUGUUUGUGUUCCAAUUGGAUGUUUUUUUUUGGUAACUGAUAUUUGAUUCCAGAUUAUCUAUUUUUUUAAGUAGUACAUGUUCAUGUUUGCAUAUCAGUUGGAAGCCAAAAAUAUUUCUGUUAAAGUACUGCAAGAUAACCAGACUCACCUUUGCAUAUACAUUUUGUUCAAAAAAAUGAAUCAUGCACUGGACUUGCACUAAUUAUGUUCAUGUUUGUGUUUUCGUGGGAAGCAAAAUUCAUUUCUGGUAAAUUAAUGCAAGGUAACAAGACUCACCUUUGCAUAUAUAUUUUAGUUGAAAGAGAAUUGAACCAUAUAUGUUGUGUACCGAUAAAGUUAUAUAUUGGUUCCUUCUGUUGCUUUAUUUAGCUUCUAUUGGUUGUGUUUCUCACGAAAACUAACUUAUGUUGAGUUUCUAUUGGUUAUGUCUCUGUCCAGGUUGAGUUGAGCAUAUGUAUGCCUACCUCAGUCGAUGAGGUUUCUCUACCUUCGCUCUAUGACGCAGAUUGAUUUCUUUUCUAGGCUUUUACUGUAUCAUGUGGCUGUACCAUUGUUGCAUGUCUCUAAUUGUUUAUGUUGCUGAAAUCACAACCACUAAUACUAUGUUGUUGAUAGAUAGAAGAUUUUAGAAGCGCAUUGUUUCAGAAUUAAGAAAUUUAUGUCUCUGAUAUGGAAGUAUGUAUUAUGUUGUUGUUGCCAAGAUCUAGCAUUCUAAUUGUUGAUCCUUUUCUAGAGAAUAAGAUCCCAUGGUCAUUUAUGUUGUCACUGCGUAGGCGAAAAUAAUUAUGUGUGGUUUCAUGGACUCUUACCUUAUUGAUGGGCACCAUGCAGAGUUUGAGGAGAUGUAGGCCAGCGUGUGACCUCUCUCGCUUUUCAAGUCACCGCUGAGCCGCCUUCUUUGCUUCAGAGGCUUCUUGUGUCACCAUAGAUCCGGCCGUGUGUCACAACAUGCAACCAAAUCAAAUGAAGGAGUGUGGACAAAGUUAUAUAUCAUUGGCCAUGCCGCCAAAUGCGAUCCAAAAUCGAGCGGAUGAAGUGGCAGCACCGACGCAUGCGCUCGUCGCUGGCUCGGCUGCGUACCGCCGCCAACCAUAGCUUCAGCGGAUGGAAGAUGUAUGCCGCAGCGUCUCUCCCGAUCUCUUUUUCCGAAUGGAUUUGAGGGAGCCUUCAGCCCUUCACAGGAACCUUUUCUUGGAUCUGAUACAGAAGAGAUUGAGAAUUGGGGACUAUUCAUUAGAGGGAUUAGAGUUGGUAUCGUGAUCUUCUGGAAGUAUGUGGUAGGAGAGAGAUGAUGGUAUAUUCAGUAGAGUUGAUAUCCAUUGCCAAAUGAAAAAGCACGAAUGGCCAUUUUGAGUCGCUUGGUGACAUGAUGAUUCGAGGAGCAUGACCGGCAAACCCACCUUCAGUUUUAACUUAUGGUCUGGUAUUCCUGGAGACGUUAAGGUGUUGAGGAACUCAGUAGGCUGCAUGUUCAUCAUGAUGUUGGUAUUUGUCGUUGCCUUGCAGACUGUGUCCAGGCUUAGGUAAUCCCGCUCACGGUAUUUUUGCAGCAAAUUUGGGUAUAUGCUUUUAACGAUUUGUUCUUUACGAUUUUCUCCUUUCUCUAGCAGUAGGUCUUUUGGUAUUUUUAUCCAAUCCUCUCCUUCAUCUGAUGUUGUUUUCCCAUCGCCAAUCUGUAGUAUCCACUCUGCAAAUUCAGCGACCUUUUGCUUUUGUAUUGGAUCAUCUGACAAACACUUCAGCCGCAUGUUUUGUGUUAACUCAAAUAUUUCAAAGUGUUUUCACAGAUAUGAUCUUUUGAUUGAAGCAUUUACUAUCUGCUCUCUCCUUCCUUUGGUUAUAACUGGCAGGAUUUUUCUGAAGUCGCCUCCUAGUAUAACUGUCAUUCCACCAAAUGGCUUUUCAUCGCUGUUUACAUUAGUGAAUCUUAGAAUAUCUCUAAGGCUUUUGUCUAGUGCCUCAAAGCAGUGUUUGUUUGCCAUAGGAGCCUCAUCCCACAAUAUAAGUGAGGUCUUCUUUAGCAGUUCAGCCAAAUGCGAGCCUUGUUUUAUUUCACACGUUGAUUCUUCAGUGAUAUUAAGUGGAAUACGGAACCUUGAGUGUGAUGUUCUUCCACCUUGGAGAAGCAACGCUGCAAUGCCACAUGAUGCUACCGCAAGCACUAUCUUCCCCUCUGAUCUGAGCUUUGUUGUUAUUGCUUUCCAUAGAUAGAUUUUUCCUGUGCCACCGUAGCCUUCGACAAAUAUCUGCUUUCCUAGGCCUUUGUGGACUGACUCCAUUAUUGCAUCAUAGGCCUUUUUCUGGUCUUGGUUAAGAUUGUUUAGUAUGAUUUUGUGCUCAUCCUUGAGUUUGUCCAUGUCGUAGUUGACCUCUUUGUUUAUUAGUCUGUUCCCAAGUUCUUCUAGCUCUGCGGCAUAUGGUAGUUCUAUGUCUGGAUAGUCCUUUCGUGACUUUCCUACUUGCCUCAUCAGUUUUUCUAUCUCAAUCAGACCAUACGCUUUCUUAUGUGUGUUUAUAAGCCGAAGUGUUGGAAAGUUUAGAAUAGUCCUUCUUUUGUAUUGCAUAUCUUCACACAACGCCUCCCAUGUUGAAUCCCACAAUACCUUUGGGUUUGACUUCGCAAUGGGACAAUAUGGUGGUGAAUAACUGACGCAGUUGUGUUCCGGAUGCCCAACUUGAUGCUUCAUUGAUACAGUCAAUCCACUCGGUGUCAUCAUCGAUAAAUCUGAGGGCUUGGCAUGCUGAUUUGUAUGUUGGGUGAAUGACUCCAUCAACGGUCCUAAUGUCCUCAAAUGAUGUGCAUCCUUUCUUGGUGUUUAGAAGCAUCCUCAUAUGAUAUCUCUCGCCACUUGCGGGAUGUGCAUAGUAGAUUCUUCCAAUUGCAUAGUCCCUUUUUCGCUUCUGCCAACAUUUUGUUUCGCUUUUCCAUACAAACUUUGUAGGGAAUUCUGCGUAAGUCAAUCCUUUUCCUAGCUCGUAUAUUUUAUUUGCCUCCAUCCACUGAGUGAACUUGGUGAUUUUAGAUCCGUCCCUUGUUACUAUCUUUUCAAGAUCAGUGGAGUCUGGAAAAACGACUUGUUGCUCAUUUUCAAGAUGGAAAGGUAGCCUCUCAACUGCUGGAUCGCGAUACUGAAGAUCAAACUGAAAUAUCCUCCAUCAUGCUUCUGAUGUUGAUAUGUAUCUCAUCUCUAGGUAUUUCUUGAUCUCGUCAGUUUCGUUUGUCGUGCCCCUUUCCUUGAGUAAGGCUGUAACAUGCUCAUCAUCUUUAUGGAUAUACUUAAAUAGGUACUUGAUUGAUCUGGACCUAUUGCACCACUCGACAUUUAUGUGAGCUUGAUACUUGACCAGAAGGUUCCGGUUGUAUGGCAUGACAAAUCUUUUGUCGAGCAUCACCCCUCCUUUUUUUAUCUGCCUUCCGUCAUCCCUCCUUUUAUAUACUGGAAAUCCAUCCUCGUUAAUGGUAGUGCUGACAUUGUAUCUUUUUGGGAAAUGCUUGGUGCAUCUAUGGUCCACCAUGCAUGGUGAGUUUUUCUUAGCCUCUCCGCACGGGACAUGCAUCAUGAAGUUCUCAACAGCUUCAAAUGACUUUGGAUCCUCAUCCUUGUUUGGGAUCUCAGCGCUUAUUAUUUUGUCGAUUUGCGAUGGUUCUAGGUACUUGUCUUUGUCCUUCAAAAAUAUUAGUAUGUGGGCAUGCGGGAGUCCUCUCUUCUGGAAUUCUAUUGUGUAGAUGACUGCAGUUGAUUAAUAGUUUGUCAGAUUUAGCUAAAAUUGGAAUGCAUGUUACUAAAGAGCUAGAAUCUGACGGAGUAUAAGAUGAUGCAUGUUUCUAAAGAGCAAGAGUCUGACGGACUAUAAAAGAUGAUACAAGAAAGAGUAAAGAUUGAUAGUCAAUGUGACUUACUUUCAACUAUUUCUCCAAAGUAUUUCUUUUCUUUUAUGUCUCUCAUUAGCUCCUUCAGUUUGAUCAUAAAUACUCUGUCCACAAUAUCUGGCCGAUCGGCUAGCUUUUGGCCACCUCCCGCUUCAUCUAGCAUGUAUUGGAUCUCAGGCCACUUUGCAUUACAUGUGAAUGUUAUAAAUAGGUCUGGGUAUCCAGCCCAACGACAUAUUGCAAAGGCCUCUUGCAAAUAUUGUGCCUUGUUUCUUCUACCACCUGUAAAAGAUGAAGGCACAAUUAUCCUCUUUCCAACUUGCUCUGUUCUUGUGUCCCCUCGCUCAAUCGCAUCCUGCAAUCCACUGUAAAGUUCAGCUCAUAGCUUUCCUUGAUUGUGUCGGAUCCAGUUUAGUCUAUUUUGCUCGAUACAUGUGUAUACAUCCACCCAAAAUUACAGUGACAAAUGCCCGGACUUAAGCAGUAACAUUCCUUGAUCAGGACGUUGCUGUAGGUAGAAUGCAUAGUAGUCCAACAACGUUAUGUAUUUCAUGCUGUUUGUACCUCCUUUUGUUUUCUUGUAGGGUAUCUCAAGUUUAAAACCAUCUUCUCCAUAUGGGAACAACAGCGGAUAUUGCAUGGACAUGAAUUUCGGGUGGAUCUCAAAUAUCCUUUGCGGCUCCAUAUUUUUGUACUCAACAACAAUGUCACGUCCUUCACUCUCUCCGGUUGGAUCUCUUACUACCAAUGCUGCAACUUCAAAUGCGGAUGGAAGGUUGUGUGUUUCGUUCCUUUUGCCUAGUAUCUGAAGUGUGUAAUCAUGGUAGUCUCCUUCUUGGAAUCUAUCUCUUGCCAUUCUGAAUGUUUUUGCGAGGAUGUUGUUGUCGUCGAGCAUUAUUUUCAGUUCUUUGACGAUGUUAGGGUCCACUGUUGGUUUAUUAUCAUUGCAUCUUGACGCACUUAUCCUGUUUUCCACCUCAUUUUCGGUAUCAUAGAUGUAUAGCUGUGCGAACCGAGGUUUGUCUGUAUCUUGAGGCAAAAGAGUUCCGAUAUGGUGGUAGUUUGGUCCAUGCAAACGAAAAACAUAAGGUCCUUUGCGAGUGUUUAUUUCCUUGUCCACAGCUCCUCCCAUCGAUGUGAAUGAAAACAUUGAGUUGUACGACCUUAUAUUUUCUUUGAAGUUUACCGAAUCCUGCCCUUCACUUCUUAAGAGGUUUCUAAGGUAUAGUGGAGGUUCUCUUAGUGGCCGCAGAUCGAUUUUCCCUUCUUUGCAGCAUAUUCCAAAAGAGGGUGUCGUAGUUCCUUUGUUUGAAUUUAAUCUUUCUUCGCACCACAGCAAUGCUUUGCAAUAUUGGCAUUUGUAUGUUGGCCUUCCAAAGUUCCAUGGCUUGCUAUUAGCACUUGUCGAGGUUCUGGUACUGUUGUUGUCUCCAACAUUGACUCUAGUGUUGUUUUUGUUGGUUUCGCUUCUGGCACGCUUCAAUUCCCUAUCUUCUUCUUCAGCAUUAGACUUUCUAAAUCGUUUAGGAGCCUCUGUGUUCGCGUUUCUUCUUCCCUCUGCAGUCCUUGUCCGCUUUGUACUCCUUGAGUUUAGAGGUUGUUCUUUCUUUCUUUUUGUUUGGUGAGCUGCUGGGUCUAACGUAUGUUGGGCUCUCAUAUCUGCAAAUGUGAUUUCGUCAGUGCGUAUAGUUUUCUUAACAUAGUAUCAUGUAAUAUGAUUUAUGUUGUACUCCCCCCGUAAAGAAAUAAAAGAGCGUUUAGAUUACUAAAGUAGUGAUCUAAACACUAUUAUAUUUCUCUACAGAGAGUGUGCUUAAUAGUGUUUUGCCUUUGAAGGCAUGCAAGUGCGUUUGGUGACAUAUGAGACUACCAAUGGAUGUUGUCACAUACAGUACAUCUGGAGAUUAAUGUUGUUUAUUUGGUAGGGAACUAUAUAUCAAUAAUUGUUCAACCGUGUUUCUCAUUUUGUAGCUUUCACAUUAUUAUCAUGGUAGUGUUAGGAUGCAUGAAAAAAAAGAGCUUUAUAGUUCAGUAUGAGAAGAGUUUUGACGCAAUGUUGAGCUGAGAUCAAAAUGCAGGCACACACAUGAAGAUUCAUGGGGAUAUUACCUGAGGCUGAUGGUGCUGAUGUUGUGUCUUUAGUUCAUUGGACGUUUCUUUGUGCCUUUGAUCGUUUGGGUGUCGCCGGCGUAUAUUGGAUGCAAGUUGCUGGAGUUGUUGCCAUACCUUCAAUUUAGCGGUCUUUUCGUGUGUUUGAUAUUCCCGACAUCAUGAAAAAGUAGCUAUUGAGAAAGUGCAUCAUGGGUCAUUUAUGAAUGUCUGUCUUGUAAAAUUAUGGUUGAAUGAUGAUUAUGUGAUAUAAGCAGAGGGAUGAGUGUAUGUGACCAUA